UGGGGGCUUUUCAGGCGACGUUCGGAUAUUGGGUUUAAGGGUCCGUAGGCGGGCCAUUAAGUCAGGGGUGAAAGUCUGCGGCUCAACCGUAGAAUUGCCCUUGAUACUGGUGGUCUUGAGUUAUGGUGAAGUGGCCGGAAUAUGUAGUGUAGCGGUGAAAUGCAUAGAUAUUACAUAGAACACCGAUUGCGAAGGCAGGUCACUAACCAUAUACUGACGCUGAUGGACGAAAGCGUGGGGAGCGAACAGGAUUAGAUACCCUGGUAGUCCACGCCGUAAACGAUGGAUACUAGCUGUCCGGGCGCAAGCCUGGGCGGCCAAGCGAAAGUGAUAAGUAUCCCACCUGGGGAGUACGUCCGCAAGGAUGAAACUCAAAGGAAUUGACGGGGGCCCGCACAAGCGGUGGAGCAUGUGGUUUAAUUCGAUGAUACGCGAGGAACCUUACCAGGGCUUAAAUGUGGUCUGACAGCUUUAGAGAUAGAGUUUCCUUCGGGCAGAUCACAAGGUGCUGCAUGGUUGUCGUCAGCUCGUGCCGUGAGGUGUCAGGUUAAGUCCUAUAACGAGCGCAACCCCUGCCGUUAGUUGCCAGCAUGUAAAGAUGGGGACUCUAACGGGACUGCCGGUGCAAACCGCGAGGAAGGUGGGGAUGACGUCAAAUCAUCACGGCCCUUACGUCCUGGGCCACACACGUGCUACAAUGGCCGGUACAGAGAGCAGCCACGUCGCAAGGCGGAGCGAAUCUAUAAAACCGGUCACAGUUCGGAUCGGGGUCUGCAACUCGACCCCGUGAAGCUGGAAUCGCUAGUAAUCGGAUAUCAGCCAUGAUCCGGUGAAUACGUUCCCGGGCCUUGUACACACCGCCCGUCAAGCCAUGGAAGCCGGGAGUGCCUGAAGUCCGUCACCGCAAGGAGCGGCCUAGGGCAAGAUCGGUAACUAGGGCUAAUCUACAGAGGGGAGACCCCCCAAAAAAAGGGAGGGGGGG
RNAcentral lists this ribosomal RNA (982 nucleotides) under Arenibacter palladensis. Its description in RNAcentral is "bacterial SSU rRNA". It matches the Rfam family "Bacterial small subunit ribosomal RNA", at positions 524 to 1533 of the family's 1533-position model. Lineage: Bacteria; Pseudomonadati; Bacteroidota; Flavobacteriia; Flavobacteriales; Flavobacteriaceae. The record is from RNAcentral.